This 253-nucleotide ribosomal RNA is filed under the name uncultured bacterium. Its description in RNAcentral is "partial 16S ribosomal RNA". It matches the Rfam family "Bacterial small subunit ribosomal RNA", at positions 524 to 776 of the family's 1533-position model. The record is from RNAcentral.
UACGUAGGGUGCAAGCGUUAAUCGGAAUUACUGGGCGUAAAGCGUGCGCAGGCGGUUUUGUAAGUCUGUCGUGAAAUCCCCGGGCUCAACCUGGGAAUUGCGAUGGAGACUGCAAGGCUAGAAUCUGGCAGAGGGGGGUAGAAUUCCACGUGUAGCAGUGAAAUGCGUAGAGAUGUGGAGGAACACCGAUGGCGAAGGCAGCCUCCUGGGCCAACACUGACGCUCAUGCACGAAAGCGUGGGGAGCAAACAGG